Molecule: long non-coding RNA, 281 nt
Organism: Salvia miltiorrhiza (redroot sage)
Lineage: Eukaryota; Viridiplantae; Streptophyta; Magnoliopsida; Lamiales; Lamiaceae
Exons: 2
Source: RefSeq, a predicted model, not a curated record
AGGUCCUUUUGGGAAGUAACGACUUGAGGGAGAGAGUGACGUUACUCAUUGAUACAGAGACACAACGAGGUUGAGCUGAUGUGAUGAUGGUGCUGCAAUGAGCGGAGUCUCCAGGGUUGUUAAUAAAUAGUUAACCUGUCUAGAAUAUGUCUUCAUACAUAUGUCUAGCUACUUUCCGCUGCAAGAUGUUGUUGAUGUUAUAGUAUGUUAUGUCAUACUUUGAGUUUUAAGAGAAUGGUUUCAUAUGAUGUAUAACUUGAUUAAUGAUAUUAAUUAAGUUU